UAGGGAUUAUCAUAUUAUAAUGUUUUUGUUUUCGGCACAAAAUAAGGGAUUUUUACUCAUCUCUAU
Molecule: transfer RNA, 66 nt
Filed under: Fulvia mutica
Lineage: Eukaryota; Metazoa; Mollusca; Bivalvia; Cardiida; Cardiidae
Description: tRNA-Arg
Source: RNAcentral